RNAcentral lists this ribosomal RNA (429 nucleotides) under Acidobacteriota bacterium. RNAcentral describes it as "Acidobacteria bacterium partial 16S ribosomal RNA". It matches the Rfam family "Bacterial small subunit ribosomal RNA", at positions 355 to 776 of the family's 1533-position model. Lineage: Bacteria; Pseudomonadati; Acidobacteriota. The record is from RNAcentral.
UGGGGAAUUUUUGACCAUGGGGGAAACCCUGAUCCAGCCAUCCCGCGUGUGCGAUGAAGGCCUUCGGGUUGUAAAGCACUUUUGGCAGGAAAGAAACGUCAUGGGUUAAUACCCCGUGAAACUGACGGUACCUGCAGAAUAAGCACCGGCUAACUACGUGCCAGCAGCCGCGGUAAUACGUAGGGUGCAAGCGUUAAUCGGAAUUACUGGGCGUAAAGCGUGCGCAGGCGGUUCGGAAAGAAAGAUGUGAAAUCCCAGAGCUCAACUUUGGAACUGCAUUUUUAACUACCGGGCUAGAGUGUGUCAGAGGGAGGUGGAAUUCCGCGUGUAGCAGUGAAAUGCGUAGAUAUGCGGAGGAACACCGAUGGCGAAGGCAGCCUCCUGGGAUAACACUGACGCUCAUGCACGAAAGCGUGGGGAGCAAACAGG